RNAcentral lists this ribosomal RNA (257 nucleotides) under uncultured Pseudomonas sp. RNAcentral's name for it is "partial 16S ribosomal RNA". It matches the Rfam family "Bacterial small subunit ribosomal RNA", at positions 95 to 355 of the family's 1533-position model. Lineage: Bacteria; Pseudomonadati; Pseudomonadota; Gammaproteobacteria; Pseudomonadales; Pseudomonadaceae. The record is from RNAcentral.
CGGGCGGACGGGUGAGUAAUGCCUAGGAAUCUGCCUGGUAUGGGGGACAACGUUUCGAAAGGAACGCUAAUACCGCAUACGUCCUACGGGNGAAAGCAGGGGACCUUCGGGCCUUGCGCUAUCAGAUGAGCCUAGGUCGGAUUAGCUAGUUGGUGAGGUAAUGGCUCACCAAGGCGACGAUCCGUAACUGGUCUGAGAGGAUGAUCAGUCACACUGGAACUGAGACACGGUCCAGACUCCUACGGGAGGCAGCAGCU